UUUAAAUAGCUGCAGUAAUUUAACUGUACAAAGGUAGCAUAAUAAUUAGUCUUUUAAUUGAGGUCUGGAAUGAAUGGUUUAACAAAAUAUCAACUUUAUUACUUUAACUUAAUUUAAUUUAAUUUUUUAGUUAAAAAGCUAAAAUAAUUAAAUGGGACGAUAAGACCCUAUAGAUCUUUAAUUUUUUUUAAUAAAAAUUUUUUUUGGUCUUUUUUAUAUUUAAUUUAAUUAAAAUUUUAAUUGGGGUGAUUUAAAAAAUUUAAAACUUUUUAAUAUUUUUUCAUAUAUUAAUGUUUAUUUGAUCUUAAAUUUUAGAUUAUUAGAUUAAGAUACCUUAGGGAUAACAGCGUAAUAAAUUUGAAUAGUUCAUAUUGUUAAAUUUGUUUACGACCUCGAUGUUGAAUUAAUUUAAAAAUUUGAAGUAGAAAUUGAAGUUUUUAGGUCUGUUCGACCUUUAAUUAAUUACA
RNAcentral lists this ribosomal RNA (467 nucleotides) under Tropidocephala brunnipennis. Its description in RNAcentral is "partial 16S ribosomal RNA". The record is from RNAcentral. Lineage: Eukaryota; Metazoa; Arthropoda; Insecta; Hemiptera; Delphacidae.